UGUAAAGUUUCAGUCUAUAAAUAAGAUGAACCGAAAGCAUUGCAGGGCAAACCUUCAUGUGUUGAAGCAAAAACUCUCUCUUGUCCACAACAAAUAUUUUGCUUAAUUAUUAAAAAAUAGGUAUAUUUCAAUGGAAAAAGCUAUGGAGGAACAAACCUUAGAAAUAUCAAACCUACCCGAACAGGUAUAUUUAUUUAUGAUUAUGAAUAGCUAAAUUCAUAAUUUCCA
RNAcentral lists this long non-coding RNA (228 nucleotides) under Capsicum annuum. Its description in RNAcentral is "long non-coding RNA (CANN_LNC013874)". The record is from RNAcentral. Lineage: Eukaryota; Viridiplantae; Streptophyta; Magnoliopsida; Solanales; Solanaceae.